CAAAUCCUCUACCCGGUAAGGUGUAGCGAACCGCCGGGAGCCCGAGUCAUGGGCGGCUGCUCGCGAGGGCAGGGGCUAAACGUUGACAGGGGAACAUACAGGCUCGGUAUUGAGCUCGGAAAUCAAGGUUGGGAAUGCUGACCGCGUUAUCUGAUCGGGAAAGCAAAACUGCCAGCUGCGCUAGACGCGAGCAGCGGGCAGAUUCCCCGGAGUCGUAGACCC
This 222-nucleotide non-coding RNA is filed under the name Ectothiorhodospira marina. The record is from RNAcentral. Lineage: Bacteria; Pseudomonadati; Pseudomonadota; Gammaproteobacteria; Chromatiales; Ectothiorhodospiraceae.